This 506-nucleotide ribosomal RNA is filed under the name uncultured Vonarxia. Its description in RNAcentral is "bacterial SSU rRNA". It matches the Rfam family "Eukaryotic small subunit ribosomal RNA", at positions 569 to 1078 of the family's 1831-position model. The record is from RNAcentral. Lineage: Eukaryota; Fungi; Ascomycota; Eurotiomycetes; Chaetothyriales; Chaetothyriaceae.
AGCAGCCGCGGUAAUUCCAGCUCCAAUAGCGUAUAUUAAAGUUGUUGCCGUUAAAAAGCUCGUAGUUGAACUUUGGGCCGGGCUGAUCUGUCCUCCUAAUCGAGCGCACGGAUUCGGUCGGGCCUUUCCUUCUGGGGAGCCCGAUGCCCUUCUCUGGGCGUCGUGGGGAACCAGGACUUUUACCUUGAAAAAAUUAUAGUGUUCUAAGCAGGCCUUUGCUCUAAUACAUUAUCAUGGAAUAAUAUAAUAUGACGUGCGGUUCUAUUUUGUUGGUUUCUAGGACCGCCGUAAUGAUUAAUAAGGAUAGUCGGGGGCGUCAGUAUUCCGCUGGCAGAAGUGAAAUUCUUGGAUUUGCGGAAGACUAACUACUGCGAAAGCAUUCGCCAAGGAUGUUUUCAUUAAUCAAGAACGAAAGUUAGGGGAUCGAAGACGAUCAGAUACCGUCGUAGUCUUAACCAUAAACUAUGCCGACUAGGGAUCGGACGAUGUUAACUUUUCUUGACUCG